GCCCUUGUAGCUCAGCCGGUAGAGCAGCGGUUUUGUAAACCGAAGGUCGCGGGUUCGAUUCCUGCCGAGGGCACCA
This 76-nucleotide transfer RNA is filed under the name Azoarcus sp. Its description in RNAcentral is "tRNA-Thr". It matches the Rfam family "tRNA". From Rfam's summary of the family: Transfer RNA (tRNA) molecules are approximately 80 nucleotides in length. Their secondary structure includes four short double-helical elements and three loops (D, anti-codon, and T loops). Further hydrogen bonds mediate the characteristic L-shaped molecular structure. tRNAs have two regions of fundamental functional importance: the anti-codon, which is responsible for specific mRNA codon recognition, and the 3' end, to which the tRNAs corresponding amino acid is attached (by aminoacyl-tRNA synthetases). tRNAs cope with the degeneracy of the genetic code in two manners: having more than one tRNA (with a specific anti-codon) for a particular amino acid; and 'wobble' base-pairing, i.e. permitting non-standard base-pairing at the 3rd anti-codon position. The record is from RNAcentral. Lineage: Bacteria; Pseudomonadati; Pseudomonadota; Betaproteobacteria; Rhodocyclales; Zoogloeaceae.